RNAcentral lists this ribosomal RNA (1098 nucleotides) under Triticum aestivum (bread wheat). Its description in RNAcentral is "partial small subunit ribosomal RNA". Lineage: Eukaryota; Viridiplantae; Streptophyta; Magnoliopsida; Poales; Poaceae. The record is from RNAcentral.
AUGCAGGGAUUUAGGUAUGAAGAGGAGAGCCACGACUAUGAUCCACAACAGUCUUAUUCAGCUCCUAUUCAUAUACCUCAGCACCAGGAGAUGUUGCCGAUGGAGUUAAAUAGUCCUCCAUUUGGUCAACCAACACCUCCAACACAAGUGCCCACACAAGAUGAGUUCGAUGACAUAGACAAGCUCACACUUUUGAGUCUCGAGUUCACUUGGAGUGCCGAGGAUGAUCCCAUUAGGAAGGUGAUACUUGAGGAAAUGAAGAAGAUUAAAAGUGGAAAGGAGCUAGUGGAAGAAGUAAGGAAGAUUGAGAAGAACAUCAAUGCUGGCAGUACUAUCUCUUCCCUCCUUGAGUUGGGUGUGGCGGAGAUUCCCCUUGAUACAUGUGAGGUUCCAAUACCGUCACAUCUAGCUGAGCAAGAUAGCAAGUGCUUUGAGCAAGAGAUACCUCAGAUUGAAGAAGAUGAACUAGAAGACAAGGAACAAGAUGAUCAAGAUCUGCAAUUCCCAAGUGAUCAAGUUGAAGACUCGUCAUCUACUACUCCUGAAGAAGUAAAAGAAGCUGAUGUAGAUGAAGAUGAAGAACCUGAGAUUCAUUGGCCUAUUUUCAUACAUGAGCGUGAUGUGUCAGGUUUUCCCAAUCCUCUUGAUGACAUGCUCCCUUAUGAUUUUGUUGCUUCCACCUUGCAUUACAUGAUACCAUCACUUAAGAUUGAUUUGAAAACUCAUUUGCUUGGAUAUGAUGAUAUAUACCCUGUUAGUGGCAUUACUCUCAUUUGUGAUGAUCAUAGUUACUUUCCUCGUGCUAGUCCUAUGCUUAAUGAAACAUAUCAUUCUUAUGCUAGUCUUGAGCUUAAUGAUAAAUGUCAUCCUCGUGUGAGUAUUGACCAUGCUGAUUUCUGCCAUCCUAAACAUGUGUUUUAUAGUUAUGCCUAUAUAAUUGGAUAUUCCAUUGAUGACUUGGAGGGCAUCGACCGUAUCACUUGUAGUUGUUUGUGUGAGUCCUAUUUCAGGCUUUUGCUUGUGCACGAAUCAAUACAUGCUGACCAAGUUCGAGAUGACAUCCCAUGGGAUCCUGGUGGACUCAGAGCAUGGGGAUGA